Molecule: ribosomal RNA, 292 nt
Filed under: uncultured Planctomycetota bacterium
Lineage: Bacteria; Pseudomonadati; Planctomycetota
Description: uncultured planctomycete partial 16S ribosomal RNA
Source: RNAcentral
GGACUACCGGGGUAUCUAAUCCCGUUCUCUCCCCUAGCUUUCGCGCCUCAGCGUCAGAAGAGGGCCAGCACGUCGCUUUCGCCACCGGCGUUCCUUCCGAUAUCAACGCAUUUCACCGCUCCACCGGAAGUUCCACAUGCCCCUACCUCCCUCAAGCUUACCAGUAUCAAAGGCACUUUUCCGGUUGAGCCGAAAGAUUUCACCCCUGACUUGGCAAGCCGCCUACGCGCCCUUUAAGCCCAGUGAUUCCGAACAACGUUCGCACGGUUCGUCUUACCGCGGCUGCUGGCAC